CACAGCCACGGUAAUACGAAGGGUGCAAGCGUUACUCGGAAUUACUGGGCGUAAAGCGUGCGUAGGUGGUGGUUUAAGUCCGUUGUGAAAGCCCUGGGCUCAACCUGGGAAUUGCAGUGGAUACUGGGUCACUAGAGUGUGGUAGAGGAUAGUGGAAUUUCCGGUGUAGCAGUGAAAUGCGUAGAGAUCGGAAGGAACAUCUGUGGCGAAGGCGACUAUCUGGGCCAACACUGACACUGAGGCACGAAAGCGUGGGGAGCAAACAGGAUUAGAUACCCCGGUAGUCCCUGUCUCUUAUACA
This 301-nucleotide ribosomal RNA is filed under the name uncultured bacterium. Its description in RNAcentral is "partial 16S ribosomal RNA". It matches the Rfam family "Bacterial small subunit ribosomal RNA", at positions 510 to 808 of the family's 1533-position model. The record is from RNAcentral.